CUGUUCCUGGAGAUCUACCUUCAGAAGCACUUGAUGAUGACAGACAGCUGUGUUCGAUUAGGGUUGGAACUGAAGUCUGCAGAUAGUUUGAUCUCCAGGAACAGGAUUGGGCACCCCUGACUUGAGUUUUUUUGCUCAAGCUUCUGGCAUAAACUAACCUGAGCUGCUUUUCCCAAAAGCAUAGUAGGCCAUCAGUGGUAUCAAUGGUCUACAGUGCUUUUGGGAAACGAAGCCCAGGACUCUAAUCAGAUCUUUUCAGCAGGUCUCCUUGAGACUAUCCUCAUCACCAAUGUCCUGUGUGGUUCCCGUGACUUUCCUCCAUUACCUAAGUGGCUCAGGAUUCUGGUUCUGAAAUAUCUUGCUCGACUUGCUUGUAUGAAGAAAUCUUGCGAUAAACACUUUGAAGCAAACAGAUCUGAGAGCACUUUCUACAAAAACAGCAUGACUGAUAAUGCCAUGAUUGAUAUUCCAAAGGAAGAACUAGUUGGUGGAAGUCCAGUGAGAGUCUGGGGACAAUGUCUUGAUGAAAUGAAGAAGAUGAGUCAAGAUUUAUUGGCUAUCCGCCACCAAGUUGAAGAGCACUUCAAUAAUGACAACAGAACAGAUGAUUGGAUCAUGUUUGGUCAGGUCAUUGACCGUGUGCUCUUUAUAAUGUAUAUUAUCUUUAUCAUUGUGAGUUUAAGCACGAUUAUGGUUCUGUGGCUGCACUUGUACAGUCUAGACAAAAGGUCAUAACAUAUUAUCGCCUGCUCUGUAAACUGAAGACAUCAAAAUCUGAUAAUGCCAAUGGGGCCAUGAUUUAUUUAUGAUGUAAUGCAAGUGAUCUUCAACAAAAUACUCUAGCUUUAUACUCUUCAUAGGGGCUUUAAAGGGGUAGUUCACCAAAAAGGACAUUUCUGUCAUAAUUUUCUCAUCUGCAAAUUGUUUCAAACACAAAAGAAGAUAUUUUGAAGAAUGUUGGUGAUCAAAUAGUUGACAGUAACCAUUGACUUUAUGGCAAAAAAAUAUAAAAAAAUACUGGCAACUGUUUGUUUUGGAACAACUUAAGGGAGAGUACAUCAUGACAGAAUUUCCCUUUCCUAUCCCAUAGACAUUCAAUUUCUAGAAAGUUGUAUAAAUAAAUAUUAAAGUAUUUAGCAAAUGUGUAGACUGAAUCUAACAUUCUGUUUUAUCUGUAUCCCCA
Molecule: RNA transcript, 1183 nt
Organism: Cyprinus carpio (common carp)
Lineage: Eukaryota; Metazoa; Chordata; Actinopteri; Cypriniformes; Cyprinidae
Gene name: 5-hydroxytryptamine receptor 3A-like
Exons: 3
Source: RefSeq, a predicted model, not a curated record